AUGGGGAUUGGGCCUACGUAGAGGUAGCCCAUCGUGCGAAAAGCCUCCUAUGGUCCAGACUGGACCGGCCCGAGGGAAAAUGCAAAAAAAUUAAGUGAAAAUUACACAAAAUCAUACUUUAAAUAUUCAUCAUUCUAAAAUCAGGUAGGAAGUUUGAUAUUUCAAAAAUCAGAUGAAAAUUUAUUUUUUAAAUAUUAAUAAUAUUAUCAUAAAAUUAACCCCCGUUCCAAACCCUAACUACAUCCUCUCUAUCUUUUUACACAACCCACGCUCUCUCGCCGUCAAUCUCUCUACCACCCACCCUUUUUAUAUUGGCGACGCCUCUAUCUCUCUUCUACCUUUUUCUCUCUAUCUUCUACCAGUAUCCUACCUAAUUCCUCUCUAUUCCGACCGAUCGAUCAGUGCUUUCAGUGGUGCCGUGCGAAAGGUGGUGCGCAGAGCGGUGUGAAGACGUCGUCGACUUUCCAAUCACCGCAACUACGCUCUUUGCUACCUAUAGACAGUUCACAUAUCUGAGAUUAUUGCUUUUAGAUCGCCAAGCGGCUUCGGGUUUUGUCUCGCUAAAGCAGAAAAAGAGUAAGAUGCUUCAAGAUUAUCCUUGAUUCGUGUUUUGCAAUUAUCUGUGGCGAUUUACUAGUAACAGUGUGGUGGGGUGAUGUUGUUAGCGAUGGUUGUAAGGUGGUGUCGAUUGUAGGUAUUAGUUCGUUGCCACUGCUCAUGAGAGAAAAUUUGGUGGUGGUGCUGGUCGCGGCUACGACAGAUGCAGAUUCAAAAUCCACUACAGUAUGUGGUGUGGUGGUGUCUGCAAGUGGUUUCUUGCGAUUGGCGGUGCUUUGUGGUAGCUGUACAAUGAUUCUAAAUGGUAGCAGUGCUGUUAGCCGUGUUGGUGGUGACUUAAUUUGUGACCAACGUGGUGGUGAUUUUGGCAGUGAUGGUGAUGGUGCUGUUGGAGGCAGCGUUGAAGUGGUGGUCGGAAGUGUUGGUGAUGGUCAUAGAUUAUUUGGUUGAUUGUGACAGUGAAUUGGUUAAUCUGUGACCAAUGAAAAAGAUAAAUUAUGACUAAGAAAUAACGUGUGACCUAAAAAUUAAUAAUUU
This 1095-nucleotide long non-coding RNA is filed under the name Olea europaea (common olive). RNAcentral's name for it is "long non-coding RNA (OEUR_LNC007399)". Lineage: Eukaryota; Viridiplantae; Streptophyta; Magnoliopsida; Lamiales; Oleaceae. The record is from RNAcentral.